UUCUCCUUGAUCCAUGUUGCCUUACAUUCGUUACUUAUCCUAACCAUGUGGCCUCGUUAGCGCAGUAGGUAGCGCGUCAGUCUCAUAAUCUGAAGGUCAUGAGUUCAACCCUAAUACGGGGCAUGGUAGUCUUUUCCCAAACCUCUUCAGGAAAAAUAGUUUUUCGCCACUUGCACACGAACUCGGCUGACUCGCUCGCGUUCCCUUCUCCUUGAUCCAUGUUGCCUUACAUUCGUUACUUAUGUUAACCAUGUGGCCUCGUUAGCGCAGUAGGUAGCGCGUCAGUCUCAUAAUCUGAAGGUCAUGAGUUCAACCCUCAUACGGGGCAUGGCAGUCUUUUCCCGAACCUCUUCAAUGAAAAAUAUUUUUCGCCACUUGGACACGAACACGUGUCUGGCUCAUUUACUCACUGCUUGGUCCCUUCUCCUUGAUCCAUAUUGCCUUACAUUCGUUACUUAUGCUAAUCAUGUGGCCUCGUUAGCGCAGUAGGUAGCGCGUCAGUCUCAUAAUCUGAAGGUCAUGAGUUCAACCCUCAUACGGGGCAUGGUAGUCUUUUCCCAAACCUCUUCAGGAAAAAUAGUUUUUCGCC
Hippocampus zosterae (dwarf seahorse) is the source of this 589-nucleotide long non-coding RNA. RefSeq lists it as uncharacterized. The record is from RefSeq and is a predicted model, not a curated record. The transcript has 3 exons. NCBI's taxonomy places the organism in Eukaryota, Metazoa, Chordata, Actinopteri, Syngnathiformes, Syngnathidae.